RNAcentral lists this ribosomal RNA (587 nucleotides) under uncultured bacterium. Its description in RNAcentral is "bacterial SSU rRNA". It matches the Rfam family "Bacterial small subunit ribosomal RNA", at positions 339 to 916 of the family's 1533-position model. The record is from RNAcentral.
CUACGGGAGGCAGCAGUGGGGAAUCUUGCGCAAUGGGGGAAACCCUGACGCAGCAACGCCGCGUGGGUGAUGAAGGCCUUCGGGUCGUAAAGCCCUGUCAGGUGGGAAGAAACAUGUCGGUGCUAAUAUCACCGAUGUUUGACGGUACCGCCGGAGGAAGCACCGGCUAACUCCGUGCCAGCAGCCGCGGUAAUACGGAGGGUGCAAGCGUUGUUCGGAAUUACUGGGCGUAAAGCGCGUGUAGGCGGUCGGGCAAGUCAGAUGUGAAAGCCUUCCGCUCAACGGAAGAAGUGCAUUUGAAACUGCUCGGCUAGAGUACGGGAGAGGAGAGUGGAAUUCCCGGUGUAGAGGUGAAAUUCGUAGAUAUCGGGAGGAACACCAGUGGCGAAGGCGGCUCUCUGGUCCGAUACUGACACUGAGACGCGAAAGCGUGGGGAGCAAACAGGAUUAGAUACCCCGGUAGUCCUAGCCGUAAACGGUGGGCACUAGGUGUGGGAGGCAUCGACCCCUCCCGUGCCGCAGCUAACGCAUUAAGUGCCCCGCCUGGGGAGUACGGCCGCAAGGUUGAAACUCAAAGGAAUUGACGG